Molecule: ribosomal RNA, 253 nt
Filed under: uncultured bacterium
Lineage: Bacteria
Description: partial 16S ribosomal RNA
Rfam family: Bacterial small subunit ribosomal RNA
Source: RNAcentral
UACGGGGGGUGCGAGCGUUGAUCGGAAUAACUGGGCGUAAAGGGUACGCAGGCGGACUUUUAAGUGAGGUGUGAAAUCACCGGGCUUAACCUGGGAAUUGCAGUUCAUACUGGGAGUCUAGAGUACUUUAGGGAUGGGUAGAAUUCCACGUGUAGCGGUGAAAUGCGUAGAGAUGUGGAGGAAUACCGAAGGCGAAGGCAGCCCCUUGGGAAUGUACUGACGCUCAUGUGCGAAAGCGUGGGGAGCAAACAGG